UUUGCCAUAGACAAUACAUGGGAUCAAGUUGUUAUUGUUGGGAGGAGUUUUGGAGGUACGUUUUAAUUAUUGGUUUCUAUUAAAUUGUUGUGGAGAAGCAUGAUUGUAAUAGAAGUAGAAAUCAAAGAUUUUACAUAAAUAUGCUGACAGUGAAUUAUUUCAGAAAUCAUAGUAAUUUGUACAAAUUGAUUUUGAUUCUGAUUUUUGGGUAUGUUAAACUAGAAAUCGUCUAUAAUGUUUUAAAACUUGUUUCAAGUUAAUCGGAUAAGAUUUCAAUUAAUUAUGAUUUUUCAAAUUCAAGUCUGAAAACCUGGAAAUUUAUGAUUUCAGUGAACAACGUGAAUUACGAAAUUAUUUUACCAUAGUUAGACUUCUUCAAAAAUUAUGAAAUUUGGACCAAUGAUUUUUAUAUAUGUCUAGUAUGAUUCUGGAAAUUUUCAUGAUUUUAUGAUAAAGAAAUAGAUUGUUUUGUAUUUUUAAAGCAAGUGUGUUCAAAACAGAAAACUGUUUGACAGUAUUGAUGAUGUCUGAACCGUGAAUUAUUUUCAAUCGUUUUGGAAGGAAUUAUGUUAUGAAAUUUUUAUCAAUGAACUUUCAAUGUGUCAGCAUAUGGUCUGUAAAAUUUGAGAUUCUUCCAAUAAGAGAAUAAUUUAUUAAAAAUCGGAGAAGUAUGAACUGUUAUGUUUUGAGGGCCGAUUAUUGAGGACAUUUGAGGUUGAGCUUAGGAGUUGUUUAAAUUGAGAUAUUUGAGGACAUUAGAGUUUAUGAUUGAGAUUUGAUUAUAUCUUAUUAGAAUUUAUUGAUGAUUUUAGGUUGAUGGUAUCAGUACGCAUUUGUUACAUGAGGAUGCCAAGAGGUAUGUAAACUAGACUUUAAAACGAAUCACACUAAACAAUAUACAUGUUUGACUUGUGUGAAAAGCCUAUUUUGAUAUAUAUACGGAUAUGGAUUUAGAUGUCUCUGCCCAUGUGUUUAUGUGAUGUGUUGGCAUGUGUUGGGCGUGAUUAUGUACAUGGGCAUAUGUAUGUGUGAUGGUUCAUUGGCAUGAGCACGAAAAUGCAUUGAGUUUUCUAUGAAUGAGAAAGUGGAUUUUAGCAAACGGAAUUUCUGUUUUAUGAGAUUUUGCAUUGGGGGCCACCUCUUGAAGUUGUGUGUGGGCCACCUCUUGAGGGCCAGAGCGCCGCAAAGUGCCACGCAUGGUGCAAAGUGCCACGCACAGCACAAAGUGCCACAAUUGCAGAAUAUGUAUUUCAUCGAAAGAAAAUGAAAAAGUUUGAAAGCGACAAAAAGAGAUUUUUAUGAAAUUAUUUUACAGUAUUUCUAAAAGAUCAUGGCAUAUCAUCCAUCUGCAUUAUGUAUAAGUAUGUAUGUACUUUCGUAUAAGAAAAACUUGUUUACUUACUGAGUUUUAUACUCAUUAUAGUUUAUUGUGAUUUAGUUUUCAGAAGUCAGGAUUGAUUCGUGAUGAGUGACAAGUUGAAGAUGGUAGAUGGUUUGACUAAAUUUUUAAGUUAUUCCGCUGGCUUUUGUAUUUGAGACUCGAAUUUUUAUUGUUUGUAAAGAGUUAUUUAAAUCAUAUGUGAGUUGUGGACAUAUUUGCC
This 1601-nucleotide long non-coding RNA is filed under the name Citrus maxima (pomelo). Its description in RNAcentral is "long non-coding RNA (CMAX_LNC001230)". The record is from RNAcentral. Lineage: Eukaryota; Viridiplantae; Streptophyta; Magnoliopsida; Sapindales; Rutaceae.